RNAcentral lists this ribosomal RNA (468 nucleotides) under uncultured bacterium. RNAcentral describes it as "partial 16S ribosomal RNA". It matches the Rfam family "Bacterial small subunit ribosomal RNA", at positions 28 to 507 of the family's 1533-position model. The record is from RNAcentral.
GACGAACGCUGGCGGCGUGCUUAACACAUGCAAGUCGAACGGAAAGGCCCUGCUUUUGUGGGGUGCUCGAGUGGCGAACGGGUGAGUAACACGUGAGUAACCUGCCCUUGACUUUGGGAUAACUUCAGGAAACUGGGGCUAAUACCGGAUAGGAUCUCCUGCUGCAUGGUGUGGGUUGGAAAGUUUCGGCGGUUGUGGAUGGACUCGCGGGUUAUGAGCUUGUUUGUGGGGUAGUUGCUUACCAAGGCUUUGACGGGUAGCCGGCCUUAGAGGGUUAACGGGCACAUUGGGACUGAGAUACGGACCAGACUCCUACGGGAGGCAGCAGUGGGGAAUAUUGCACAAUGGGCGGAAGCGUGAUGCAGCAACGCCGCGUGCGGGAUGACGGCUUUCGGGUUGUAAACCGCUUUCGACUGUGACGAAGCGUGAGUGACGGUAAUGGGUAAAGAAGCACCGGCUAACUACGUG